Molecule: long non-coding RNA, 20657 nt
Filed under: Coffea arabica (coffee)
Lineage: Eukaryota; Viridiplantae; Streptophyta; Magnoliopsida; Gentianales; Rubiaceae
Description: long non-coding RNA (CARA_LNC002237)
Source: RNAcentral
UUCUCCAACUGUUUUAGAGUUGGGUGAGUGAUGUCCCAGGAUUUAUCAGAUUGUUCUGUUUCUUGAGCAUCUUCAUCCAUCGUCUUAGAUUUCUCAGUAACAGCUUUCUCAUUAACAAGGUUCUCCAACUGUUUUAGAGUUGGGUGAGUGAUGUCCCAGGAUUUAUCAGAUUGUUCUGUUUCUUGAGCAUCUUCAUCCAUCGUCUUAGAUUUCUCAGUAACAGCUUUCUCAUUAACAAGGUUCUCCAACUGUUUUAGAGUUGGGUGAGUGAUGUCCCAGGAUUUAUCAGAUUGUUCUGUUUCUUGAGCAUCUUCAUCCAUCAUCUUAGAUUUCUCAGUAACAGCUUUCUCAUUAACAAGGUUCUCCAACUGUUUUAGAGUUGGGUGAGUGAUGUCCCAGGAUUUAUCAGAUUGUUCUGUUUCUUGAGCAUCUUCAUCCAUCGUCUUAGAUUUCUCAGUAACAGCUUUCUCAUUAACAAGGUACUUUGCACUGUUGCAGUUCCCAUCAUUGCACUGCCCCUCAUUGUUAACUUCUGCAUAACAGGGAUUUUCCAGCAUUAGAUAGCUAUUGAUCUCUAUAUUUCCCUGUUCCACACUAAUAUUCUGCAAUCCAUUUGAGGUAACUUGCUCUCUUUCAGAAAAUUUUUCACCAAAAUUCUCCUCAAUUUUCAGAAUGCUGCUCACAUUGGAUCUCUGCAAGCUAAUUGAGGGAAAUUCCCUGAAAUAAUUGGUGAUUCAGAAAGUAAGACAGUGCAGAAAAGCUUUAAUGUCUGUAGACUGUUUAAAUAAAUAAAGCACUCUACUCUUUUUAACAGCAUAAGCUUUUACAUUUAGUGCAACUCCACAGUUUAUCAAAUCUUAUGGCCAGAAAAAGAAAAUGUCAUGAAAACAAACGAAAAUGGAAAGAAUCCAUAGUUUAAGCAAAUCCCAAACACUGAGGCAGAUAGUUCAAUCAUUCCAAUGGAAUUUCCAUGCAACUACUCCCUCAACUUAGAAACUUAACUAUCAUUUUGUCCAAUGAAAAUAAUUCACAGUUGAGGCCCAUAAAUAAUAUUCUGCAAUGUCGUCAUGCAGAACUCAGUCAAACAAGAUCAUGUAGAUACACACAUCUUCCUGUGAGCCUAAAUUCAGCAGCCAAGUAAUAAAUGUUUGACCCCACAAACACAUUGCACCAAGAUUUUCAAGGGCACAAAUGCACAAAAACUGCAAAAGUAGCCAAAUCCUCUGAAGCAUUCAUAGAAUUCAUGACUCCUGCAAAACGACUAAAUUGGGAUAGAAUCAGGUAUACAACGGAAAAAUUGAUUUCUUUCCAUUAAAAACAAAGAAACAAAGUUUGAAAAAGGUUGUCAUUAUAUGCAUGCUUCCUUAGAGUCAAAUGGAGUCUGACAAAAACUACUUUAUGCAGCUCAUAUAACUUUUUCUUAUAAAGGUCCUUACACUAGAUUCCUCAAAGUCUUUCAUUAUCCAGAACUGAAAAGAAUGUCCAAUGUACAUGUGUUUUGUUACAUUAUACAAUUGUAAACUACAGAAUAUAGGUUUGAGCAUGAAACCUUUAUAAACAGAUAUCAUUUAACUUCAACGUCAUAGUACAAAUGCAACAGGUAGUCGUUAAGAAUCUAUGCUCAUUUCUAGAGCAGUAAGAAAAUAUAUUAGAAGCUGUGAUACCAGUAGUAGCAAGCUAAAUAAAUAUGCUAAGAAGUGGCAAGAAACAGAAGUUCACUGAUGAGACACUAAUGAGACGGUAAUAAAAAUAAGCACUGACAAUUCCCUAACAACUUAGUUAAAACUAUACAAGUUAAAAGCUCUAAUUUCAGUCAAACAUUUAAUUUCUUGGAUGAUUCUACAAAGUCAUCCUUCUUAGUCCACCAAACGACCUCCAUUCCCCACCGCCCCAAAGGGUGCCUGACCAAUUGGACACAAAGCCCAAGUGGAAUAACGGAUUACAACUUGCAAGAGUUUCCUUUCACGUAACAAAGACAUAACCUUUCCAACCCUGACCACAAGACAUGCAUUCACAAGCCAAAAUCCCUCCCUUUUGCUGAUCAUAGGAAGACCAUCACAUGCAAACAGUAAAUCAAAGGAGGGGAAAAAACAGACCAUAUCCUCUACAACAUGGCAAUGAGGAAAAGACCAAUUGAACCACCAGGAUUUAAGUGACAAUGAUGAAUGCAUCACCUUUGAGGUAAGGGUUUGGAGAUCUGCUCCAUGUUCUCUUUGGGUAGAUUAGGAAGUUAAUGAUAGGCAAAUUUAUUAGGUUUGAGGCCAUUGCUAUGUAGGUCUGGAAGGUGGGGGCGGGUACGGGAAUUCCUGUGUGUAUAAAUGUAAGCAAGUCGAACGCAGUAUUGAAUCCUCAGUGGACUCCUCUUAUAUUUGAGAAAAGCUCAAACUCAUUUGACCAAAAUGAAGUCCGAUGUAAAUAGGUAACUUAGCUCCCUGUAUUAAACUCCAAAUGGUUACCGGAGGCCACAGAACAGGUACAGUCACCAAUAUUAAAGCAAAAAGAUAACAGUGUUGCGAAAUCCUAAUUGGCCAUUAAAAGUGUAGAUCACAUUUCAAUACCAUACUAAAUGAAUUUCCAAUUUUUAUGGCACGUAACUAUGGACCACUGGACAACAGGACAAAUAUGACCAUUAGUCCAUGAAGUAGGGCAAGUGGAGAGAGGUAAUUACAUGGAAUAUCCUGAAAGAGCAUUUGAAAAUUAAAUUUUGAAAGUUAGUGACGACGUAAAGUAGGAGCUAGAUACUGCUGAUUGCAGGACAGGGAAAACAUAUGGGGAAAGCUGGUUGGCUAAAGAGAAAGGCUUGAGAAUUCUCACUCAGAUGAACCAGCUGCUGCCAGUCUAGUGAGAUUUAGACCUUGCCCUCAUAAGGUGCAACCUAUGAAUCUACUGGCUGUAGGCCAAUCGACUAUGAUGAAGAUGAAAAUAUUCAAGGUGUUUAUUUUAAAUAGGUAAUGAACUGCUCCAUAAGAAACCUUGAAUAUGAAAUAAAAUGUAAGACAACUUCUGCGUUCAACCAGCAAAAGGAAAAAAUGAAAAUAGAAAAAACAUUUUGAAGCAGUAGAAGAGGAAGAUUUUAUCAAGACGUCAUGAAGAAAAUUACAUAUCCAAUUUAAAUAAUGUAAUCAUCUAUAGCAUAAUGGGUCUUAUAUUUGUGCAUCCAUACAUCUCACUAAUGAUAAGUUAUUUUUUCUCAGGAUAUUAAUAAUAUUGUCUUAAAGUUGAAAGCAAGCAAGCUGAUCAAAUGUCCUCAGAAAAAUGUGACAUGCUCUCAUCAGAGCAAAAGAGGAUUGGCCGCUCAGAAAAUUCUCUGCAAUUCAAGUUCACUUCUGGUCAUGAGCAUCCUGGUUGAAAUCAAGACACUUCUCCUCUUCAUGCCUGCUUUGCAUAAGAAAGAUAUGUGCAAUUUAUACAUAUUAUCCAUUAUGUCAGUUACUCUUCGUAACCGAUCCACUUCCGACAAUAAAGAAACUGAGCAUGAAAUUGAAACUUUUACCUUAUAAAAUCCAAUAGACUGAAAAAAAAGUAACUGAUUACAGAGAAAAAUGAAGUAAAGACCUUCUAUCUCUGAAUUAGUAAUGAUCUGGAAGAUCCAGCAGAAUGGAGAAAAGAAAGGAACCAAGUGUUUAUGAAAGAAAACUACUAAGAAAAGAAAUCGCUAGAUGAAUGAUGCCACUUGUACCUUGAAUACCAGCUUGACAGAAUCAUGGCAUAAGGAAGCACGUUAUAAUGCUCAACCACUGUGGUAGUCAUCCAGCUAUGAGACAUCCAUUCAAACAGGGGGCCCUGCAAACUAAUUCAAAUGCAGAAGCACGUUUAUGGUACCAUCAUUGUUACCUGGGAAGAAAAAUGAUAAUUUAAAGCGUUUUCAAAUCUUAAGUGGCAUCCUUUAAUUUUCAAGCAGCUCCUGAGUUUUUAAAGACAACAAAUGAUUGAAAAUUCACUCAAAGAUCUGAUACAAGAUAACUUGAAAAGCUCAUUUAAGUUCUAUGGCCUACCUUGCAAUUUCUGAGCAAUCUACUGUGGAAAUAAUAAAUCCAAAAAGAUUUAUAAAAUGUUGUAAUCAUAGACAUAUAAUCAAAGGUGUUUUACAGAUGAGCUAAUUUGGUCCAGUAAAAUAUCUGGUUGUCUCCUUACUCCUACACCAACUGGGCAAAUUCUGAAGAAUCUACAAAGAGAGGACAAAAGUAUCUGAUCGUCUUCCUAAGAGUGUUCCAUAUGGCCAAAUUAGUACUCAACGCAAAUCCCAUGUGACUAAUUAGGUAUCCAUAACUUUCACAUUUUCCUAGAUGAAAUUAAGCAGCAACACUCUGUUGUCUAAUUCUGUGGGCAGUCAGUGUUUACACAGUCCAGCUUCCAGCUUCAAUGAGUCCUUCCAUCUGUUUCUUUUAUCCCAACCAAGUUUUUCUUCUCACCACUUCUCAAUCAACUGGAUAGACACCUACUUAAAAUGUCAAAAUUUCCUAUUCUUCUUGCUUUCCCUUGAUCUUUUAGUGCUUUACUUGCUGAGCUGCAAAGUAGCACAAUAGUUCCUGCAACAGCAAGUUCCCCUAUUUGCCAACAAAGCAGUCACCACUGCUGGCUCUUCUCUUCAACUCUUGCUUCUCUAACCUAUAAUCUUUCUUUAUUUCUUUCCUCACUGCCAGCAGCCAGAGUCCAGUAGCAACGAAACAAUGCUUUGCAGCCACAGUAGCAGGUACAGAGUCUAUCAUUUUAUUGAUAAGGACAGGAAAUGAAAAUGAACGAUCAGAAGAAGACGUUAGAGAGUAGUUUGAGGGUUAAAGAAAUGACUGAAUGGGAACUUUAAAAAUUGUGUACCAACACAACUGGUGGCACCUGUCUCCUCUAACAAUCCAGAACAUUUUGACUUUUUUAUGAGUGACUUUGCAGGCAAUUUUGGGCUUGCAGGUACUUCAAAAAUUGGAGAGUUUUUAGGUCAUCCUUAGGUCAUUUUACUUUACAUCUGCGAACUGAUUUUAUACCCCCUCGCAAACCAUGGAUUAUUAUUAUAUCAUCCUUUUAGGUCAAUUAAGCUUACAUAUGAGAACUGAUUUGACACCCCCUUGAGAUUGACAGAAGCCAUGAAACUAAAAAAGGGAUUGGCAGAAUCCCAUGAAAUUGAAAGAGACUUAGUGAGAACAGAACCAAAUAGCAGCACACAAUUCUCCUUUUCUGAGUCGACCAACAGCACUGAAACUUUUGAAAUCGGCCAUCCUUCUAUGCUUGGAAUGUCUUUCAGUGCAUCUAAAGACAAUGAGAUAUUGCAGGCAUCCAUGACUGCUUUCUCUGUCACUGAAAGUUGGUUUUCCAGAUCAUUCAACCCAACAGGAUCGGUUUGGAGUGUAAACUUCAUAUGAGGCAUUAGAGUUGGCUUUAAAGUUAAAGCCAACUUGCAAAAUGGCACAAAUUCUAAAAAGCACAACUCUGGAUCUUGCUUCCUAUAAUAGUAGUUGUAGAGUAGCCCAACAGCAUGCAUCUGUAGCAAAGCAGAAAUGGGUAAGAAACAUCAGUUAGUAAAACAACAAAAUCCAUAAGAUUCAUAACUUCUGUACCAAAUGCUUCAAUUCAAAAACAAAAUUUUGUCUCAACCCCAGUAGAAGGAAAAAAAGGAAAAACCAUAAGAUCCUACAUUUGGCUAAGGUAAGUAAAUGCAUACUGCACAAAAGAGCAAAGGACACGCCAUUGAUUUUGCAUACCGCAAUUCUUUCUAUUUAUGAGAAUUAAACACUACUACAAGAUAUGAUUAGAAUUGAGUAUACUUAAUAGAAGCAUCCAUGUCUUUUUGCAUGGUUAAGAUGUUAUUUAGAGGGACAAAAAAAGCAUGAUUGAUGAGCUAAGGUCAUGUGAAAAUACUUUGGCAACAAACUUCCAUGUUAUCUUUUGGCUUUCCCCGAUGCUACCAUAACAUCAUCUUUUGAUGAUAGAAGCCUAGAAAUGAACAAGAAUGGUUUUAAAUGUUCUGAAGAAAGUAAGCACCACCCUAAAAAUGAAAUAGAAAAUCCUUCUUUCUCAGAGAAAUGCUUCCAGCACUAAUAGAUAAAACGAAUAUGAAGUUAGCAAUACUGAUAACCAUGGAAAUCACUUCCAAUCUCUACAAUGAUUUACAGACCAGUUUUAAUUUUUUUCUUCAAAUCCUUGGUCAUUUAAGUACAAUAUAAUUGGAUAGCCCAGGACAAAUAUACUUGCAUCAUUGUAAAUAGUUAAAAAGAAUUUUAAAUUACAAGGUUUAGUUAAUACAAGCAGCUUUUCUAGAAUAGACGACUCCAAUCAUACCUUAUGCACAAUGCGCAAUUUGAUUCCAAGUAAUCUGCACUCUCAUUACAAUACAAAGGCAACUUUUAAACAGAAAACUACAGAUGUAAGUAAUUCCUUGAACACUUCUGCAGUUGGAAUCUCCGUCCUCUCCCUCCCUCCCUCUCUCCCAUAUAUUCUAGUCCUAGUGACUUUUCCUUGCAUGGCCAUGGCAGCCCUUAAUCUUUUAAUAGAGGGCAUCCUUCUUGACCUUUGGAUCCAGUUACAAGUGCUACUCCCACAUAUAUGUUUCUCAUAAAGUGCCUAGAACCACUAUCAUUGAGCUCCAAACCAUUUUCACACUUGGCUGUUCAUUCAGUAUCCUUCUUCAUCGUAUGGGUGUGUGGAUUCUCCUUUUUAAGUCACCAACAAAAUGGACAGACUUGUUGCCAAUUUUCCAGGAAAGCAGUCUAAUUAUAUGAAAUGCACAUGCUCAGGCCAAUGAAACAUUUUGAAAUUUGAGAACCAAAAUGACAAUUUUUAGAGGUUUCUAUGUCUGCACAUAGUAAUUUUCUUUUUCUUGUUAUUUAUUAUGAAAUGAGAAUGUCUAAAACAAAAACCAAAAACCACUGUAGACCGUGGUGCACAGAAUGCAUUACUGCCAAAUGUUUCACAAAUGUGUUCAUACCAUAAUCUAUAAGAUUCUACUACAAUUAAAAUAAAAUGAUAUCAGUACAAGUACUAACAAAGCAAAAUUAGUUCUAAAAGAAGUAUAAAAGAAAGCUUACAAAAAAAAAAAAUCAACUAGGGGACAGAGAAAGAACACCUGUCUAGAAACAGACUGCUGAUUGUCAAGUGAAGGAGGAUCCUUUCCAUAUAGCUUCGAAGGUAACAGUGGAUCAACCAAGCAAUCCAACAAUGCGCUUACUGCCUCCUCGAUGGGUGCCACGUCCGACAUGGAAUAAGCUAUCCUUAACUAAACAAAAUGACAAAAACUCAACAAUUAAUCCAAGAAUUAUAAGAUUAAAAGAUAUCCACAACAUUGCAAUUUCUUCUCUAAGAUUACAAUGUGAGAUGAAUAUAUCAUUUCAAUGUGUUACUUGCUUAAAUUUAGUUGUGUGGGUUUGCAUACAUAUGAAAAAACAAAAUAAUAUUCCCUAACAAAACAUGGAAAACAAUUUCCCAACCAACUAGCGUAAUCCUUAAUAUCUAUUUGCCCCACAACCAGGAAACAUGAAUUUCUUGUAUAUUGCAAAAUAUUCCUAACAUUUAUUAGUCCCCACAACCACGGAACUGGAAUUUCAGUAAUUUGCAAAAUAUAGUUCCAUUACCACAUAAAUUUGGCUGGAACAAUACCUGUUUCUAUAACAGGGGUAUCGAAUGGUUGGGAUUAUGCAACCAAUUAUUUUAGCUAUCAAGAUUUUUUUGAAUAUUAAAACACAUUUGGUGCACAGAAAAAAAAACAAAAACUUAAAAAAAUAAAAAUAAAAACUAAAAGCCGCAUGAACAACAUUUCCUUAAAAACAUUUCAUAAAAAAUCUUCAUCACCACGAAUUAUCAGCAUGCAUGCAAAGAAACUAACAAGUUUCCACAAAUUCAACCGCUAACUUAGGGUUCCUGAAAAACAUAGAAAAUUACCAAAUAAAAAACUUCAUAUAGGCCUUGAACUUCGGUAUACCUUGAAAAAAAAAUAAAAACAAACGCAAACACAAACACAAUAACGAGAACAAAAGCUAAAAAUUAAAACAAAGCAGAGAAAGAAUUUUACCGAUAAGAUUCCUUCACACCGUUCGACCCAGCUAACAAUCACUACUCACGGCGAACUCCACGGCGACCAAAGCUUUUUAUGGCACUAAGGAGAGAACCGGAGGCUAAAACGGCGCCGUUGAAAAUGCUAGCAAAGAACAGUGGACUGAAGUAGAGAGGAUUGGAAGAAGCAACUUGGGAAUUUGUGAAUUGGUACUGACAACAAGAAGAAGAAGAAGAAUCGAAAGAAAAGACAGAAAAGUCGGUGAGUGAAAUUGGGGAAGUGAAGGCGUUACGACUCACUUACCAUAACAAUGUGCUGUGCUGUGCUGUGCUGCGCUGCGAGUGGUUUGCUUGAAAAGGCGCGCACUUUGCUGACGUGGCGCAAGGUAAAGAAGGAGAGCUUCCGUUACUAAAUGAGAUUUAAAUGUAAUAUGCUAUGACUAGAUGCAUUCUAACCACUGAGCCAUUAGAAGGGAUUUAAGUUCCUCCUUAAACUGUAGAUGAGGGUUCAAAUCUCAUUUACAGUGAAAAAAAUAUAAGGAUUGUGGCAUAGUACUUCUUUGAUUUAGUUGGAUCCAUAUAUCUAUUAGAUCCCUAUCACACCCUCUUUAGAUUCCCCUCCCUCCUAAAUUAGGAUAGAGUAGGUUAUACAAAUGUAUUGUCCGAUUGAAGGAUAGAUAUAUAAUUUGCAAGAGAAUGUAAAUUAAUGGACAAAUGCAGGUAGAUAUAUAUAUAAAAGGAGAGUAACUAAAAUUUAAAUGUAAUAUGCUAUGAUUCGAUAUAUCACUCACGGGCCUAGUUGGAAAAGACAAUUGUAGAUAUUAAAACAACACGUGUCUGGUUGAAGGAUAGAUGUAAUGUGCAAGAGAACAUAAAUUAAUGAACAAAUGUAAAUAGAUAGAGUCUACAUAGAUUAAAAAAGUUGUGCUUUAAAAGGACCUAAAUCAGAUACCUAACAUUUCGCUUUUCUUGUGCCAAAAAAUGAAAGACUGAGUCUACAUUUUCACUUUUCUUGUGUUUUGAUAUACUAUAUGUGUGAGGACUCGUAUUUUAUUUUAUUUUAUUUAUUUAUUUUAUCGAUUUAUUCACUUAUUUCUUGGUUUACUCAAAAAUAGUUAUAUUCAUGAUUAAUUACCCAAGUGUUAGUUAGCUAUAUUAUCGUUACAAGAAUUUUUUAGAAAUUUCAUUUUAUCGCGCACAAGUCGGAAGUUCACAUUUUCGCGCGCACGGUUAAUUAAGGGACUUUAGAAAAUUAUUGUUGGACUCUCAUCUCACUCAAAUCUUGCACCUUUUCACUCCAAAUUCACUACACAAACUCACAACAACUUGGAAACUCACUUGGACUAGGAAGAGAGUAUCAUUUCCACGGUUUUCUUGGAGCUCUUGGUGAAUAAUAAUAGUGUUAAAGGAAGUGCAUUAGAGGUUUAAUACACAAGUGAAACAAACCCGAGAGGAAACGGGCACGAAACGCGCGCAUACGCGCACUAUUGAGAGUUGACUUUUGUGCCAAAAUUUGAACCACAACUACCAAGCUUCUCCAAGAAGCUUCCCAUAUUAGCACCAUCUCUCUCUUUUCUCUCUCAAAGCCGCCGAAACCCUCAAGGAAGAAGAAGGAGCAAACAUCAACCAAGAAGUAGUAAAUCAUCCAACCUUUGAAACUUGAUUCUAAUGAGUUAGAUUUCACUUGGAAGCUUGUAGGUUUAUGUGGGUAUCUUUAUUUUGUUGGAAAUCAUUUGAGUAGGCUCUAUGAAAUCUCACAAUAGACAUGUUGGACUGAUAUGAUGAUUUUUGGUGUUAUUUAUGUUGAUUAAGUGUUAAAUUAGUGGAUAUAAGUUGAAAAAGUGGAAAGAAAAUCAAAGGAAAGCUUGCAUAGGAAAGGGCCGAAUUUUGCCCUGUUUUUGCAAAGCACUUGGUGCAAUUGUUUUGUGAUCAAAUGACCUUGAUUUUGAUGUAGAUAUGUUGUAUAGGUUGUGUGGAAAAUUUUCACCAAAAAUCACUUGAUUUGGUUAGGUAAAAGUUGGAUUUUCGAAAUAACUUCAAAGCUGGAAAACGGGUAACAGGGGUUACCUGGCAGCGAACUUUGAACGAUCAUAACUCCUUGCUCUGAUGUCAAAAUCGAGUGUCGUUUAUGGCAUUUGAAACUAGACACUUCCAAUUUUCUAAUGGUAUAAAAUGUAUCCCCUGAUUCGAAUUGAGUGAGUCAUACCAGUUCUUCAAAGUUACCUAUUCUGUUUUAUUGUUAUGCUGGAGAGUCAGUGAUGUGCUAGCACGUGUUGUUUGAAUUUGAGCUAGCUAAGAACUGAAUUUCAAAAUGAUUUCUUCUGAUGAAAUGUAGACUUGGAAUGUAGUUUCCAACACCACCAACCAUGCCCAAUUCCAAGUUGAAUUGACUGAGUUAUGGCUAAAUUACAGAACUGCACCAGUGAUAGAAAACCCUAAUUUUGGCUAGCCGAAUAGCUUAGCUCGAAUGGGGACUUGUUAUUUUGAAACUUUUGGUGUCAAUCACCUACUAAAUAUAUGUUAGAUGUUUCUUAGACCUUUUCUUCAUAACUGAACCGUGUUUGAGAUGAUUUCAUUGGCCAAAGGUUCGAAAAAAGGAAAACGGAAGCAUAAGGCAGAAUUGCCUUGGAAAUUCCUAAAACUUUAGUGGUCUUGUUAAUUGAUUUUCCGUACGAAUUUUUGCAUGAAAUUUAACAGAAGAGUAGCCCUUAUAUGGUAGUAUAAUCAUACCAAAUUUGGUGCCAUUCCAAGUCCAUUUCGAUGCCCAACUGAAGUCCCAAAGUUUAUGUUUCAAAUCUGGAAAAUGGUCUUCAUUUUGAACCAAUUUUGAGCUGCUAUAUCUUGGCGCUCAAAACUCCGAUUCUUGUUCUGUUUGUUGUGUUUUAAACUUUAAUUGUAACUCUAAUUGACUUUCAAAUUUUAGAGGCUAGUUCACAUUCUGUGAAUUUUGCUGAAUUUUCAAAAUUUACCAAAAAUCAACUCCGAAUCUGUCUUUGAAGUGCAAGUCAGUAGUUUUAAACCGAAAUUUGAGUGUCUUUCAUUUAGAAUCAUGGAAAGAUAUCUUUUAGGAACUUUUAGUACUUUGAAAAUAAUUUCCAAUGGUACUGAAUUUUCCAAUUUUAGACUUACGGAGAGUGAGAUAUGAUUUUUCAAAGAAUGCACCUCAAAUCUGAAAUUUCUGAACUUAAAAGAAAUUGAGUUUUUAGAACUUACCAUUUCUCUUCGAUAUUAUAUGACCAUUUUACACUUGAUUUCAAAGAUGAAAAUCAGUUUUUUCUUGUAUUAUUAAACCCCACUUUUGAGUCUCGAUUUACGAAUAAUUAAGUCUCAUUUUCAUGAUAUUUUCUUAGAUUGUACUAGAGUACAGUCUUCCUUGAUAAUUGGGGGGUCUUAAGCGAUAGUGUGAUAAAUAAUUAUUGUUUACUCAGGUAUUCAAGAGGACCUUACAACGGACGAUUAAACACUUGAAUUGAGUACCACUCUCUCAUUUUAACUAGGUGAGUGUCAAGUGUGUGAAAAUGUGUUACGUAUUUAAUUGUUAUUGAAAAUUGAGUAUUUUGAAAAUGCUGAGUCGAGUAUGUACUUUACCGCACUCGUUCUCAUUAAAGUGAAGUGUACUUAAAUUAUUUGAAAUGAAUAUUUACGUAAAGUAUACUUGAAUUACUUGAAGUGACUUGUUAAGUGAAUAAGUGAAGUAUUUCAAUGAUUAUUUAUGCUACGGCUGCAUAAGUCAAUUGGAGUGAAUCUCCUCGACUCUUAGUGAUACUAGUGCGGGACGCCCAAAUCUCAUUCGGCCGACCUUGCAAUUCGAGCCGGCAUGGGUACGAUCGAGAAGCUUGGUGAGCCAUGAGAAACGUGUAUAAGCUUGAUCUAAUAGAGAGAUCUUGCUUGGCAUACUCGAGUAGUAUCACCUUAAAUAAAAGAUAGGCGGGCCCGGUACAGGAGUAUGUAAUGGUGAUCGGGGAACGAGUAAGUGAAGAUCUACGAAUUAUAACCUACCCGAUUGACGGACUGUCAACUCGUGGAGGUUCUUGAUCGUGCAAGUGGAAAAUAGCUCUUGAGAGCUCUUAUAUCCUUGAAUUAUUUCUAUUUACUUUUCUCGUCCGAAUUGUUAUUUACUUGAAUAUUACUGUUUAUUUGUUAAAUUGGAUUGUUACUUGGACAAUAUGCUUGCAUGUGUGUUUUUUGGCCUCACUGAGUAUUGGUUCAUUCCAUUAGUUUGUUUUUCUUAACAGGUGGAUUAGAAGAUUAUGAAAAUUCGACUAGGUUGUGUUUUUUAUUGGAAUCUUGGUUGUAAUUAUUUAGUCAACUUUUUAAUGGUUGUAUUUUGGGACUUGAUGUAUCUUUUGAGAACCUGAUGUAAGAUUUGGAUAUUCGGUUAAGGAAGCGACUUUUCUUCAUUUUAGACUUGUAUUAGUUUGGUAUGUACCGUUAAGUUUGAAUUGAAUUGUCUUGAGUCCUGGCGAGAGUUGGGCAGGCAUCCUGCGGAUACUCUUGGGUUCGCCCUUGGGAGAAAUGAGGGCAUCGCAGUUGGUAUCAGAUCGCUAGAUUAGAGAUCUAAUUGGGAGAUGUGUUAGGGACUUUAUCCUUAAGACUUGAGAUGAGAUGACUUAGUCAUACCCUAAGUUAUAUUUGAGUGAAUUCGCAAUUUUAAGUUUCUAAUCUAGAAAUUUGGGAUGUUUUGUAGGGAUGGAGAAUGGGAACGGAGGACAUGCUGCUGAUGGUAAUGGCCAUGCUUGUGAUAGCCCCACCUUACCCGUAACGAACGUGAACCAAAGGUUCGGCGGACCGCCUGCCCAUCUCUCGCCAGAACUAUUAAGACGAUUAUACAUAACUCAAAACGUGCCAGAAUACAGUAGCGUGUGCAAACAAAGCAAAAAUCAUGAAACAGAAAAUGAAAAUCAAAACGGAAAGUGAAUAGCGCCUGCCACGUCACCAUCCGACCGGGACCCAAUCGAAUACAAGUAACUUCAUAUAAUCCUUGAAAUGGACAUAUACAAACCAAACAGAACACAUGAACAUGAGUACACGCUUUUAUAAACCACAUUCGUAUUUUUACAAAUCAAAAGGGAACAUUUGAAUCCAAGUACAAUUAGGGUUUCCAACCAUUGAGGAGCUAUACAAAUAUUUAAACUAACUCAACUCAUGCUUCAAAAUCACAGUUCUAAAAAGUGAUUCCCUGUAAGGAAAACAAGGAGAACGGAACGGGGUGAGUUAGAAGUUCAAUGAGGUACUAAAAGUAAAACAGUGGAAAUCAUGAGAAAUCACUUUUAGGGCACGUAUACCCAUCAAGCAAGAGAAAUAAACGAACACCACAAUUUAAAGGAUACAGGUGGCCCAUAUGAGCCAAAUUCCCGUUGCAAUACUUGAUCCAGCCUCGUUGACUCUCCGUCAACGUUUAAUAACAUACUCAUGUCCGUAGACCCUUCUUACGCAAAAAUUCUGUUCAUCAAACAUACCCUUACCGGGCCUGAACGCCGAACAGGAACAGUAAUGGUAAUACUCGAGUAUACCGAAAUCAAGAGUCUCAAUAUCCAAAGAUUUCCCAGGAACAGGUAUCCAUGGAUUGUCAAUUACCUCGACCUAUGAUGAAACGGCUAUUAGGUGUGGCCUGCCAUUGCUCGUAGCUGCGCAAUCAUCAGUGCAGCAGCUGAAUCUGUAGCUUCUUCAGGAGUAGAAAGCAAUUCACUGAAACAGGAAGAAUCAAAAUCCAUGCCUUCUACAGUUACCUUAGCUAAAAAUCCACCUAAAAAACAGAAUAAAUGGGAUAAAACAUAUACUCCCUUUAGGAACACGAACACAAAAUGAUUUCUAUGCAUAGAAAUAUUGUUCAUUCUUGCCCUUGCUACCUCACCUUCAGAAACUGUAGAAAAGAAGAUCACAAUAUACAUAUACAUUCAUACGAUAAGCAAAUGAAGUCUUGGGUUCUUUCUUUGAAUUAUUUCCUUCUCGGCAACUUUGUUGUUGUGUUACUGAGGCCAAAGUGGCAGGCAGUAUGAAUCAGAGAUGGUAAAAAUUGGUUUAAUGAUGGCUUGAGAAUUACAUACAACUGUAGUAAGGCUUGAUCCUGGGAAAUUCUUCUUAUCAAUUGUUUUAUGCCAUAUUAAGUGGGUAGCAGCUCUUAUCAAAAGUAAAGAAGGCUAAGAGUAUAUAUUCAGACAGCCCUAAUAUUUAGAAAUUCAAGAUCAAUGUAGAUAUGUCUUUACCAUCUGGGGCUGACACGGAAUAAUUGACCAUCCAGCCAUUCACACCACAUAUACCAUUCAAAUCCUGCAAGGAGAAAUUUAGACAUUUAUCACACCAUCCAAAAAAGAAAACUAACAACCAAACAGUUCACAUGCCUAACACUAUCUUAAAAACAAAUCCAAUCAUAAAACAUGUACGAAGAAUACAGCAGGAGAAUUUCUUUGAAUCCUGCACCACUUGCCACCAAAAAUUGAAAAUGAAAAGGACACGAGGAAAAGUAGCAACAACAACAUGUCAACCACUAAUGGUUGUAUUCUGGGUGCUAGAUGACAGCCUGAGACUGACAAGGAGGAGCAUCAUGCAGUCUAACACAUGCUUAGAAAAAUAUGACACCAAAGUUAUGUAAUUAUUCUACUGACAAAAUAAACAAUUGUCUUACCUAAUAAGAAAAGCAUAGAAAAACACAUCAUUCCACAACCCCUUCACUAGUAUCUAGUUCGCAUUGUUUCCAAAAAGCACAGGAGUGAAAAGCUAAAAGAGAACUUCUUGAAUGAAAGACAUAAAAUAAACAGACAAAUCUAGUAUGUUCAUUUGCCUGAGUAGGAGACCGCAAAUUAAAGAUGGCAUCUGAUAUCCUCUUUGUGGUUCUGAGUUGAUUUAAGCGACGAUGGCCACCAUGUUGAUAACUCUCAUGCUGAUAUUUAUCUUUGAAGCAUGCAUCAUUACAACCAUCCAUGAUGGCAUCUAACAUAAGAGCCAAAGCAUCCUCAUUGCCUAGUACAGAACAAGAAAUGUGAACAUAGGACAUAGCUAUUCAAUUUCACCAAAUAAAUUAGUAAUAAAGUGAUAAAACUGCAGAAGAGCAAAAGGUUGUUAAGAACUUUUUCUUGUAAAGUUACCAUCAUGUCUUGCAUUUAUGGGCCUUUUAAAAGAAGCAAACUCAUUCUCCAUGUAUAGUUUUACUCGCAGAGAGGAGGCCAUCUUACCUAUUGAAUUAUCCAUGAAUCGAGUGAAACUAACUUUGGGCAUCUAACCCUUCAUCCAUUGCAUAAACAAAGAUUAACAGCUCAAGAAUCUUCUAACUAUAUCACAAGGUUAGCAUAAACCGUUGUAAAUCUUAACUAGGUAGCUUUGUUCAUAAAUCUAAUGCCAACUCAGUCUUAGUAUGCAGCCUACACCUAAGAAAGGAAAUAAAAAAUAUUCCUUGACAAUUCAAGAAUUUAUAAUCCAACAAAUUGCCAUGGAAAUUUAUAUCAUUUUGGAGGCUUGAAUUCUUAUUUUUCACCUCUUUUGUUCACUUGAAAAGCUGGCCCAUAUUCUAAAGAAGAAUGUGACAUGUUCAAUUCUUUUCUUAUGAGAACGGAGAGGAAAAUUUAACUAUGGUAGAGUUGGUAUGCUGAAGAAUCAAGAACCUAGCUUGGGAAAGGUGAAGCGGAAGAAGAGCUUAAAUGUAUUAAGUAUGAUACCAACUGAGGACCUUCAUUUACUGAAUGGAAGAUAUAUUUUCUAUUCCAUUCAAUUCUUGCACAAGGUAUCAGGCAUGUGCAGGGAUAAAGAAACUAAACAAGUCAAGAUAAGCACUAUACCCUCUAUGAUCUUCUGGAUGUUUUGAUCACAAGCUGCAAUCUCAUCAUGCAUGAGGCGAGCUUGAUGACACUGCCAAGACGAAAAGAUAAGUCAAUGAAUGUUCUAUACCAGUUUAGGAAUGGCUAGGACUGAAUAAAAUGUCCAAAUGGAACAUUUAAGAAGAUGAAGUCACUAUGUAAUUGGUUCAUAGUUGGAAUAUUCACAGCAAGGAAAUCAAGCUUGGAAUACUAAGACAAACCAAAUAUUUGCAGCAUUCAGAAGAUUGACUUUCCAAAAAAUGUACCAGAUAAUAUUAGAGAGAGAGGUUUUUAGUAUCCAGGACAAUCUUUCCGUCUCACAAGUUUUAGCACUAUUUUCUGCAAUACACAUGUUAUAGCUAACUCUGAUGCAUAUACAUCAUACAAAGCCCAACUUGUUAGAAAUACUUCCAUCUCUUUUAGCUACCAAUCGUAUCAGCAAACAGAAAUAUUUACUGAUCUCUUGCUUCUUGAUGGAACUUAAAAUAUUUUGAUGUACUUUUCCCUUCAAUCUACUUCAACUUUCUGGCAUUUCCUUAAAAAGAUAAGAUCAGGGUUCAUUCAAGGAGCUUUCAAUAGUCAACAUCAUCCACUCCGUCACACUUCUCACAAUAGCAUUCACACAAAUAAAAAUUGGAGAAAGAAAAGAUGAGAAUGAUUGACUUCCUUAUGCUGCUGGUCAGACAAUGAAGUCCGUCACUAUCUUUUGGAAAUAACCCUCUUCUAGGAAAUAACAUAUCCUCUUCAACUAAAGCAACUGUACUUUUACCCUAGCCAAGUCUAUCCAAGUGAUGUUAGCAAUGAAGUCCAUCACUAUCUUUUCGAAAUAAAGUUGCUUAAAAGAAUCUUUGGCAUGAAAAUCUUUAUCUAUCAGAGACAAGCACAAGGUACAGGCUAGACUACCAAAACCUUACCAUUUUUGCUCUUUUACUGAAUAAAUGUCCCAAAGCAGUCUGUGCCAGUGCUACGUCUUUUGUUACAAGUGUAGCCUGCUGAGUUUCAACACUUCUGGCAUUUGGCUCAAGACAAACUGGUGCAUAAUCUUCCCCUUGAGUCCAAUUUAGAUUGUAUGGGAGAGUCCAAUUGAUGCCAAUUCCAGAAUCCUUUCCUUCUCUACUAUUAAAUCUAUUUGAUUUUGGGCUACCAGCUGACUCCACCUGCAGACAAUUAAGUGUCACAAAAAGUAGAUCACUAACAAAUUCUCAUAGAAAAAGGACACUAGUUAGGCAAGCAGUAUCAAAAGCUGCAAUGAGGCAGUUAAACAUUGGUCCACUGAAAAUGAUGCUUUAGAACCACUAGAAGAAAAGUAAGUUGAUUGACUAAUAAAGAAAACCACACCAAACGAUUACUUUUGUGUCCUACAUAUUUUUUGUAACAACUUAAAAUAGCAUUUCCAGCAGUGCAUCUUCAUCAUCACACAAAAGCUGGAAAUAUGAGCACUGAAUGAUUAACCUCAUCUCUAAAAGGAAAUACUUUGAGCUUUUGAUAUCCGCAAUCAGCAAUUAUAAAUAGUCGGUAGAAGCUCAAUGGAAAGAGUUACCUUCAGGUUAUAGAGAAUAAAUUCACAGUGUACAUGUUCAGAGAAAUUUGACAUUAUAUACUUGUGCAGUUGAAAGAAAAAGGCUGGUCCUAAAUAUGCUUUCUAUUUUCAACAUAAUUUUCUCUAGACUACGGGAGAAGUCAAGAUCAAGAAGCCUCAGCUAAUAAUUCAGAAAGUGAAACAAUAAAACAAUCUAUCACGUAAUCUGAAAGACAAGAAGAAAAAAAGAAAAGGGUUAUUUUCUUUUGUAUAAAACCUUUAACCUUGAGGAGCUAAACAAUUCGAUUUACAUCCUGAAGUGGUUGGAAUCACUCUUGCAAAGGCUAAAAAUACAUCCUAGAGUUGGAUCUUCUAUUUUCAAAUUUUCAAGGAGACAAAAGAAGAUGAAAAAUACUUCAGCCAAACUCAAUGGUGGACCAAAAAGAUGGACACUCAUGUCAUAGCAUCCAUGACCAAAAAAAGCAUUGACGAAGGAUUGUAAAGAAUAGGAUACCAGAGGAAUAUAAAGAAGGUGGGGCUUGUACCAUAUGGGAAUUGUCCUAUAUUACACAUGUAUUUAGUGAUGAAAAUGGUACCUGGGUAGUCUACUAGAUGAUGACUGUUCCUCCUCCCAAAGCAUAUAACCAGAAAAAAAACAAAAAGAAGAAAACCUACUGUUUAUCAUUCAGUACCACUGCAAAUAAAGUUCACCAUGCUGCUUUCACAACACAGUUAAUCUUCCCUGUUUAUGAUGCGGUCCCUACUCACUAACAACUGAGGUCAUCUUUCAAAAUAAUAGUCUGCACGGACUACAAAUCUCUAAGGCACGUUUGUUUAAGCAAUGCAUCUUCUGAAUGGGCAAGAUACUUGCAGUUGUAUACUGUACUUCUUUUGGCACAAAGUUAAUUUUGUACAUGCAGCAAUAAUAGUGUAUGAACAAGAGAAGGUCGAGAUGUCAUGGCGCAGCCUCAUGGUUUCACAAUCACACUUCUGGUUCUUGUUGCAACUACUAGGUAUAUCUCCCCAGUUUGCACAUGCAAUUGAUAAAUUUCCAAUAAUCAAGUUCACUUAUCAUGUUGAACAAGCAUCUCUUCACACUGCUUUAUGUGCAUGUGUAUAUAGGUGAUUGUGUAGCUAAACUUUCACACAGAUAAACAUAUUCUCAGACACCAAAACCAAUUACCCUAGCCCACAAAAGAACCGACCCUGCCACGGGCAAUUGUUAAGCAUAAGAAGUUCCUCUAGCAUCCUUGUAAUCAAUCUUCUUUUCUCAAUUUAAUCUAGGUAAAGAAAAACCAUGAUAAGGUAAUUACUAAGGUGCUAAACUGUAUUACAAAUGCCGCCAUUAAAAGUAUCCAAUCGGCAUAUAAAUCUGCAUCUAUUCACUCCAGGAGUAGUUGCGCACUUCUCAGCUUAAUGGAAAUGUCCAUGCUUUACUUCAUAAAGCUUGUCAGCAAGUAAAACCCCGAUGCAAGAUGCAAAUUCAAAUUGCUAUAUUAGGUUGGUAAGCUAAUUGUAAAGAGACAACAAUGAUUUUCCAGAACCUCUAAUCUCAGACUAAAACAAUCCCAGAACUCAUACUGCUGCCUUUGAAGUAAUAGGAGCAUCUAAACUGCUACAACACCAGAGCAAAAAUCAAAUAUCACAAAAUCUCCUCAAAGAUUAUUAAAUGUUAAUAACUAGAGCUUGCAAAUAAUUGGUACAAGCUACUUAAAUACAAUCUUUAACAGGACACACACAAUUAAUUGAAGUUUAUUUGAUUUAAGCGAAGACUUUCCUACUUCUUAGUAUCAUCGAACUCAGACUUCCACUGGCCACUUUAAUUCGAAUAUCAACAAAUGAGGGUGCAUAUGAACCUAUAUAGCUUAACUAACAAGAAACAUAUUACUUGCAAAGUUUUUUACCUUUAUUGUAAGUCAGAAUAUUAAAGUCACUUACAUUGACACCUCCACCUACAGAAGCACAUGCACCACUCUUUACAGGAAUCUUCCUUUUCUGGUGAUGGUAAACUCGCAUAGGUGAAUCUGCACUCUUAUUCUUGUCCCCGUUUUUGGUAAAUCUCAUUAUAACUCCACCAUCAUCCGUCUGCUGCCUUUUUCUGGGAAGGAAGCAGCUUAUCUGGAGUUCAUUAGUAGGACCCUGUUUUGAAUCUUCAGAAUCCUCAUUGUUCAUGGUAUCCAAAGAUUUAUCAAGCUUUUCUGUGUCUUUGAUUACUUUCUUUAUCUCCUUACUAUUGUAUGCAUCAAUUGUAUGUUUGCCAAUAGAAUUUCCACCGAUAGAGUCUCUCAACCCUUCAACAGUUGAGUGAGUGAGUUUACCUGUAUCAGAGUUUUUAGGGCCUUCAACUUUAUUCUCCACCCUCUUAGCAUUGUCACUUCCACUGUUCUCUUCACCCAUACAAUCUAUACGAACACAAUUUUCUGACUCUUUCACAGUUGAGUGACUGAUGUCCGAUAAUGCAUCAAGGCUUCCUGUUUCUUUAACUUCUGUCUCUGCCCUCUUGGAGUUGUCAGUACCAGCUGUGUCUUCACCACUACAAUUCUCCAACUCUUUCACAGUUGUGUGAUUAAUGUCCAAGAAUUUAUCUGAUUGUUCUAGUUCCUGAGCUUCUUCAGUCUCCAUCUUAAAUUUGUCAGUAGCAACUGUCGCAUUACCUCUAAAUUGCGCAUUUUUGCAGUUUCCGUCCAGUUUUUCUGCUUCUUGAACUUCUUUAUCUGCCCUCUUGGAGUUCUCUGCACUAAUUGUGUCUUUACCACUACAAUUUGCAUCAAUGCAGUUCUCCAACUGUUUUAGAGUUGGGUGAGUGAUGUCCCAGGAUUUAUCAGAUUGUUCUGUUUCUUGAGCAUCUUCAUCCAUCGUCUUAGAUUUCUCAGUAACAGCUUUCUCAUUAACAAGGUUCUCCAACUGUUUUAGAGUUGGGUGAGUGAUGUCCCAGGAUUUAUCAGAUUGUUCUGUUUCUUGAGCAUCUUCAUCCAUCGUCUUAGAUUUCUCAGUAACAGCUUUCUCAUUAACAAGGUUCUCCAACUGUUUUAGAGUUGGGUGAGUGAUGUCCCAGGAUUUAUCAGAUUGUUCUGUUUCUUGAGCAUCUUCAUCCAUCGUCUUAGAUUUCUCAGUAACAGCUUUCUCAUUAACAAGGUUCUCCAACUGUUUUAGAGUUGGGUGAGUGAUGUCCCAGGAUUUAUCAGAUUGUUCUGUUUCUUGAGCAUCUUCAUCCAUCGUCUUAGAUUUCUCAGUAACAGCUUUCUCAUUAACAAGGUGCUUUGCACUGUUGCAGUUCCCAUCAUUGCACUGCCCCUCAAUGUUAACUUCUGCAUAACAGGGAUUUUCCAGCAUUAGAUAGCUAUUGAUCUCUAUAUUUCCCUGUUCCACAC